Molecule: long non-coding RNA, 2096 nt
Organism: Electrophorus electricus (electric eel)
Lineage: Eukaryota; Metazoa; Chordata; Actinopteri; Gymnotiformes; Gymnotidae
Source: Ensembl
CAGUGGAUGUCUGAUGGUUUGUUCACCCCUCUUUUUGGUUUCUUCCAGGACCACCAGGUGUGUCCCAGGCCGGACCCCCAGGUCCCUCAGGCUCAUCCGGGUCCAGCGGACCACCAGGACGCCAUGGUUCUCCAGGAAUCAGAGGACCACCUGGGCCCCCUGGUUACUGCGAUUCCUCUCAGUGUGUAGGAAUCCCUUACAAUGGACAGGGAUAUGCAGGUCUGGCAUAGUAUGCAUAGUAAGCUGCCUGUCACCCUUAAAUUUUGAAAUCCUGAAAAAAUAAACCAAUCCUCUCUGAGAGAUCAGCACAUUCGCUAAUAAGCUUUUAAGGAUAACGACCGUGGAUUUGAUUUAAUGAACUUUUGCUGGCCAACUCUAAAACCAAACCAAACCAAAGAAAGGACUGGACUGCCACUAACACCAGCUCACCGCUACUCUAUCAGGCAGGCAUCAGUGAUGGCUACAUACCUGUGGCCUGGUUGCAUCUUGAACUCCAAAGCAGCAAACAGCAAGAUUGAGCUUCCUUUUGCUCAAGAAGCAUGUAAACUACUAACCAUGAGGAUUUCAUAGAUGAGGUCAACAGAGAUGAUAAUGGAUGAGGGUGAGGUGUUUGUAAAUAAACUAUUGAUCCCUUGUAAAUGAAUUUCAGUCACAGUAAAGGGGUUAACAUCUGUCAUCAAGCUUGUGCCUCAUAACUUGCAUCUUGCUGACUGCCAACAUAACCUUUAUAUUUUUUGUUAUUAUUUUCUUAAAUCGCUUCAAUUAAUGAAUACAGCCUCUGCUCAGGUUAUAAAUGUAGCAUGUGCAAUUUGUACAUGUAAUCAUAAUCUCCUUGAUUAUGUUUGCAGAAUGUUGUGUUCAAACAAAUCACAUUUUUCUCUUAUUUUCAUUGAGAUUUAUCUUGUGGGAUAAUAGGCUACCUCGCCGUGCCAUAAGGAACAGAAUUGCUGGUCAAUCUUUACUUCAUCCCAGCACUUGGUUUCUAGUUGUUGUUUUUUUCUGGUUGUACAAUAUACUUUUAAGUUUUAGAUUUAGGCAUGGUAUAGGACUAGCAAAGUUUGUAAACGCAUACAAAGAGCAAGAUUGAGAAACAAUGAAUAAUAUUUCCAACCAGGCCACUACCCACCUCAGCCUGAUACCUACGUAGUGCCAAUUCCAGAGGAAACAUCAGAAGAUACUGUGACAGAGAUACAGUCUCCUGGUUUACGAAACCUGCGUGGAAAGAGAUCACUAUCAAGACAGGAAACAGAGAGGAUAGAAACAUAAACCAAGUAAAAAGUACCUUCAGAUUUUAUUUGCAUGAAGAACAACAUCCAAAGCUAAAUGUCGUUAUUGGAUCAUGCUUCAUGCAUAUGCAAAUUUAACAAGGUUAAGUGGAAAUAAGGCUGCUAUCCAACCCUAAUUUCCUGUUCAUGUUAAGAAACCUGUGUGCUUGCUCACUGUCCCCAAACUUGUAAUAUAAAUCCUCUGUAAGUUUUUAUGCAACUCCUAUUCAGUGCACUAACCCUAAGAUCAGUAUUCAAUGUAAUGUCUUAACGUUAAGAUGUAUAGACUGACCCGAUGGAUUCCACACAGAUCAUUGCAAUUUUUAUAUUGAUUCAUUGCAAUACAAUUUCAUCUUAUGCCUUCGUUCUCAUCAGUGAAGGCUUUCAGAUGUAAUUCCAUUUUCAUUUCUAAAACCUUGUAAGACUUGGCUUUUGUUUCAUUAUCCUAAAUAUUUAUCUGUUGUAUACCAGCUCACAGCUCAUUUUUACCAAAGGUGGAAUUGCAUGACUGUGUUGUAUAUUUAGUAAGUACAUUUUAAAUAUAGUUUUUUUUUUUAAUCGAUCUUCAAUGCAGUUGGAAUUUGAAUCAAUACUGUGGUCAUAGUAUUGCUCCUUUAUGUUUGAACUGCAAAUUGUGAAUUCCACAGCCUUAUUUUCUUAUUUAUUUCUGGAUCAGAAGAGGCAUUUUUCAAUAAAACUACUGAAAAUGUUUAACCUGUUUUACUGAUCUGUUCUGCCCAUUCAAAAUUUUGACAUUACUGAUUCAGUAAGGAUGACAUAAGAAUAAAAUAGUGAAAUGUGCCAAGAACAGCAGGAAUAUGCUUUUUGAGA